This is a non-coding RNA of Macrostomum lignano, 45 nucleotides long. NCBI's taxonomy places the organism in Eukaryota, Metazoa, Platyhelminthes, Macrostomidae. The record is from Rfam.
AAAACGGCCCUUUUAAGGGCUAUAUAUUAAUGUAGCCAUUAAUGU